RNAcentral lists this ribosomal RNA (344 nucleotides) under uncultured Clostridium sp. Its description in RNAcentral is "bacterial SSU rRNA". It matches the Rfam family "Bacterial small subunit ribosomal RNA", at positions 355 to 715 of the family's 1533-position model. The record is from RNAcentral. Lineage: Bacteria; Bacillati; Bacillota; Clostridia; Eubacteriales; Clostridiaceae.
UGGGGAAUAUUGCACAAUGGGGGGAAACCCUGAUGCAGCAACGCCGCGUGAGUGAUGACGGUCUUCGGAUUGUAAAGCUCUGUCUUUAGGGACGAUAAUGACGGUACCUAAGGAGGAAGCCACGGCUAACUACGUGCCAGCAGCCGCGGUAAUACGUAGGUGGCAAGCGUUGUCCGGAUUUACUGGGCGUAAAGGGAGCGUAGGCGGAUUUUUAAGUGGGAUGUGAAAUACCCGGGCUUAACCUGGGUGCUGCAUUCCAAACUGGAAGUCUAGAGUGCAGGAGGGGAAAGCGGAAUUCCUAGUGUAGCGGUGAAAUGCGUAGAGAUUAGGAAGAACACCAGUGG